UCUUAUGUCUCUCUCUUUUUCCCUCUAUAUGAAGAAACCCUAAAUUAUUCUUCCUCACAAUUCCUCUCAUCUCUCAAGGUGAUUCUUUAUCUUACAAUAUUCCCUUCAUCAUCUUUGUGUGUUCUUGCACAUCUUCAUUUUCUUCAAGGUAAAGUGGCGGCUCUUCUCUCAAACCCUAAUUUUCAUCGAAAACUUGAUACAGAUCUAUCGCAAACCCUAAAAUUCACAGCUUCCCAUUCACGCUUCUUUCUUAGAAUAAUAUGCUCCAUUCAAAGGUUAGGUGAUCUAGAUUUUUUGGUUCUUCUUCUUUCAAACCCUUAAUCUCCUCUAAAGUUGUGUCUUCAAUAUUCCUUCCUCGCUCUCUGGAUCUCCCUGUAAUUGUGUAUGAUUGAAACAUUGGAGCAUUUGAUUACGGAAUAUGAUCGGGUUCAAGAGCUUUCUUAUUCAAACAGAUAAAACUGAGGUACAACAUCAGAUAGUGCUUUUUGUUGGAAUGACAUGUGGUAUAAUGAUGCUUCUCUUUACAAGCUUCUGGGGAGAAUGGGCACUCACUGGUAAUAACAUCUCUCUUUUCAUUGUCAUGUAAUUGAUGCCUUUAACCCAGGCUAUUGAUAUUGAUAAUAAUUAGACUUAAUUAAAAACACGAGUAUUGUUUUUUGUUUAAAAGUAGUACAAGCAAUAUAAAGGAUCUUGAUCUUUGUAGCACAAAUAACACCAUGUUCCUUGACAUUCAUUGUUGGUGUCUGUUGUAGUUUUUUGAUCUUCAAUUGAGGCUAUCGGAAGUUGACGAGUCACCGGUGUCUAUUGUAGUUGUUUUGCUUUGUUGCCUGCAUUACUCAUUGCACUAGGUAUUUUGUUACAGUUUAAUCUAAGUAUUUGGGAUUACCCUAUCCGGUUCGGAGGAGAUGUCAAACCGAAUGGCAUAGAAUACUAUGUCGAGUCUGGUCAACUGGGUUGCGUACAGUCACUGAGUCCAUAAUUGAAUUGCUGGAAUCUCAUUCCAUAAUUUCAAUGUUUGUCUGUUGGAUGAUGAUUUGAUGAGUUUUAAAGGCUGUGAUGGUAAAUUUCAAUGCGUCUGAGCGAAAUUGGGCAAAGAUAAGAUUGUCCGCAUCUUGGCAGGGCAACCCGGAUGGUCAUGUGGUUUCACAUGGCAACCGUAAGUAUGCAGCCAUGGCGGAUUUAUCUACUCUGUUUGAUUGUUUACAAAUCUGAGCCUCAUAAUCGUUUUAUAACAUCGACAACAGUACUGGUAUACAUCUGUUAUGUUUUUUGUUUUGGUACUUUCAAUGAUGCCAGCACUGAACGCACAAAAAUGGAUUUGACGAUGAUGAGGACAUGGUAAGAUAUAUAUAUAUAUAUAUAUAUUUUACAUUACAGCAUUCUGUUAUUGUUGUAUUUUUCCCACAUUGCAGAAGUUUCAGGUCCCAGAAUUAAACAGUAAAUGGAAGAGGCGGCUUUUUGUUAUCUUACAUGAUAAGCUGAAGAUACCCGGUAAGCUUAUGGUAUUUCAGGUUCAUAACUUACAAAUUUUGAUGAUCUCGAUAUAUAUAUUUUGUUGAGUAGAUAUGCUUCUGAUGGCAAUCUUUUCUCUGAUAAUCAAAGUUACAAAUCAUAAACCCAAAUGUACAGUUUACUUGCCCUUAUGAAUCUGCCAUGUUAACAGCCGGAUAAUAUAACAUCACUAAUUCUUGCUGAAAAAUAUAUUUUUAAUUCAAUUUUAAUUUUAUGGUAUAUUAAUAUAUAGUAAAGCAAUUAAUGGAUAGUGACCGACUGACCUUUUCACUUACAAUUUGCAUUGCGACAGACAGAAGUUUAAAAUUUUGAAUGGCUUUAUAAAAAAUCGCCAUUUUGAAUGGCUAAGCAUGCAACCUUUAAAAUUUUUUGCCAUUUUCAAUGGCUAAACAUGUAGACUUGGAAAAGUUUCGCCAUUACAAAUGGCUUUUUGCAGGAUUUCGCCAUUCCAAGUGGCAUUUUGCAGGUUUUCGCCAUUCCAAAUGGCUCUUUGCAGCUUUUCGUCCUUUUCAAGAUGAUUGGUUCUUACACAUUUCUGAUUAUUCCCUUACACAAACUACUACCUUUAAAAAUUCGCCAUUUGUAAUGGCGCUGGCAUUAUUUAUGCAACAUUUUUUAAACUAGCAUUAGUUGUGAUCAUCAUUUCAAAAACAACACUAUAACAACGAAUAACUCAGUGCUUAUCCCAUCUUCAAUGAAGAUUUUAGAGAAAUCCCUGGGACUUUCAAUGCGGAGCGAGUCGAUAGAGAUAUUCGAGCAGGUCAGUUUUGAUUUAUUGACUAAAAAGCUACAACUUGUAUAUUUUUCUUUCUACCAUAACUGAUGUACAAAAAACGGGCUGAGCCGUUCGCGACACUGGCUUGUGAAAAGUCUUCUAUUCUAUUAUAUAUAAUAAAUGAAUAGAUUUGAGCUGAGGUGUCAUUACCUUAGAGCCUCUUAGAUGCCUUUUUGGCGGGAAAAUAAGAUGGAUCCUUUUCUUGCUCGCGGAUCCCGUUUUUUGUUACCCGACCCAAUUAGUUCGGAUCCUAUUUAAUCCACAAAAUUAGGCGCUUUGCUUUAUCCGAUUAGUCCAUAAUUUCAAUUUUUGUCUGUUGGAUGAUGAUUUGAUGAGUUUUAAAGGCUGUGAUGAUUAAUUUCAAUGCGUUUGAGUGAAACUGGGCAAAGAUGAGAUUGUCCGCAUCUUGGCAGGGCAACCCGGAUAGUCAUAUGGUUUCACAUGGCAACCGUAAGUAUGCAGCCAUGGUGGAUUUAUCCACUCUGUUUGAUUUUUUACGAAUCUGAGCCUCAUAAUCAUUUUAUAACAUCGACACAUUCACUAUUGUUUAGAAACGGAAACCAGAUUUUGAGACAAACUAACUCGGUCUUGGUCACGUAAGUCAAAACCAACUGGCAAACGCGGCAAACACUGGAUUAAAUAAUCUUUUACUGCUGCUAAUCCAGAAUAACUAACAUGGUACUUUUUGUACCUUCUGUCUUAAGUUUAUAAGUCAAAGAGACCUUAUAUCGCUUCUUCUUCAGCCUACUAUAUGUAGAGGCGGCAAAACGGGUGGGUCUGGCGAAUUUAGAACAUGUCAAAACGGGUAAUUCUUUUAAUACGGGUCUAAAUGGGCAGGGUUUUUUUUUUUGGGCUGAUGUGCCCAUUUUAUAUAUUACGAAUAAUUAACGCAUUAAAGAGUUAUAAAAGGCAUACUGGUUAACACAAUAAUCAUUUUUUAUUAUGUGAAUCAGCUUAAAAAACAUGUGGGAUUAUUUAUGUGAACCUAAAUAUAUGUAUAUUUAUAUAGGUUUUGGUGUUCACACAGAUCCAGAAACCAGUUUUCAUGCUAAAGUGAUGUUCUUUUCACUUAUACCAUUUUAAUCAUCCUAUUUCUAAGUGAUUGGAUUAUCAUAUUCUACUCAAGAACACAAGAUCGUCAUACUUGUGUCACUUUCUGUUUCAAUAAUCUAUAUAAUCACAUACUUCUUGUAUCAGGUAUACAUUUGUUUCAUUUACAAAAAAUGUUGCUAGAAGCGUAUAGGAUGUAGAUGCAUUACUUGAUUCAUUAUGGUGUUUUGGAAACCUUUUUGUAGUGUUUUGAGUAACGGAUAUAGGAAAAGAGAUGACUAGAGUCCCGUUAUAGACCCUCAAUGAAAAAAAAUCAUCGGUCGGCCAUUGGUACCGCAUAGUAGCAUAGUAUCAACACCAAAGUUUAUUUUAUAUAUUUAAACACUCUUGAGUUGUUCAUCUACAUGCAUCAUCUGGCUAUGAUUAUAUAAUACCAUUUAAAGAUGGAAUAUCUUGCCUAAACAGUUGUUGGAUUAAGAUUUAAUAAAUAAGUUUUGAAAUAUUUAUUAUAGUUUUUGGGGAACAAAUGUGAAAUAUUAGUGGGAUGAGAUUUAGAUUUUAUUAGUGUGCAUAUGAUACUGUUUGAUUUGAUAUUUGAAGAAGGUAUUUAACACCGUCUAAGUACUUUAAUACAUCCAGGUGUACAUUAUUGUUUGAAGAUGAAAAGGGUAUUUUUUCACAUGAUAUAUGUUUUACGAUAUCAGUUUAUUCAGUAUUCCUUUCAUACCGCAAAGAAAAUACAAAGUUUCACAUGAUACUUAACUUUUAGGAAGACAACCUUUAGAGGAUCCGAGGUAACAGUUGCACGAAUGGCGUAUUUUAUUUUUUUAUUUUGAUCACUUUGUUUUAAGUAGAUGUGCUCUUUAAGUGGGAGUUAAUGUUUUUUUUUUCUAAAGACAUUGUUGUCGAAUUAGAUAUCCCAUCAAGUGAAGAAAAGUUCAAGUGAACCUAUAUUCAAGCGACCAUGCGCGUCUCCAAACACCAUCGUCGUUACCGAAAUUUAAGGGACUCGAUUUACUAAGAGAAUUGUUUUGGCAACUCGAAGGAUAUGCAUCUUUAAAGGGACUCGACUAUCUUUAAAUUGUAUUUCCACUUUGUCAUUAAUUCAUGCAAGAUAACACUUUGUUUGUAUUUUUUUUAUUUGAACACUUAAUAUUUACCUAAUUAUUUUUUUCCAGCCCGGGAAGCAAUCCCGGAUGAUAACCUCGUUGGCUGAUAAAUAAAUAUUAAAACUCUUCUUGCAAA
Helianthus annuus (common sunflower) is the source of this 4582-nucleotide long non-coding RNA. RefSeq lists it as uncharacterized. The record is from RefSeq and is a predicted model, not a curated record. The transcript is spliced from 3 exons. NCBI's taxonomy places the organism in Eukaryota, Viridiplantae, Streptophyta, Magnoliopsida, Asterales, Asteraceae.